GCCUCCCUAGCUCAAUUGGUAGAGCGUUAGACUUUUAAUCUAACGGUCGCGGGGGGCU
This is a non-coding RNA of Rhabditophanes sp. KR3021, 58 nucleotides long. The record is from Rfam. Lineage: Eukaryota; Metazoa; Nematoda; Chromadorea; Rhabditida; Alloionematidae.